CCUACGGGUGGCUGCAGUGGGGAAUAUUGGGCAAUGGAGGAAACUCUGACCCAGCAACGCCGCGUGAAUGAUGAAGGUCUUCGGAUUGUAAAGUUCUAUCAGCAGGGAAGAAAGAAAUGACGGUACCUGAGUAAGAAGCCCCGGCUAACUACGUGCCAGCAGCCGCGGUAAUACGUAGGGGGCAAGCGUUAUCCGGAAUUACUGGGUGUAAAGGGAGCGUAGACGGUAAUGCAAGUCUGGAGUGAAAGGCGGGGGCCCAACCCCCGGACUGCUCUGGAAACUGUGUAACUGGAGUGCAGGAGAGGCAGGCGGAAUUCCUAGUGUAGCGGUGAAAUGCGUAGAUAUUAGGAGGAACACCAGUGGCGAAGGCGGCCUGCUGGACUGUAACUGACGUUGAGGCUCGAAAGCGUGGGGAGCAAACAGGAUUAGAUACCCGAGUAGUC
Molecule: ribosomal RNA, 443 nt
Filed under: uncultured bacterium
Lineage: Bacteria
Description: partial 16S ribosomal RNA
Rfam family: Bacterial small subunit ribosomal RNA
Source: RNAcentral